GGGUGCGAUCAUACCAGCACUAAAGCACCGGAUCCCAUCAGAACUCCGAAGUUAAGCGUGCUUGGGCGAGUGUAGUACUAGGAUGGGUGACCUCCUGGGAAGUCCUCGUGUUGCACUCCA
This 120-nucleotide ribosomal RNA is filed under the name Allium thunbergii var. deltoides. Lineage: Eukaryota; Viridiplantae; Streptophyta; Magnoliopsida; Asparagales; Amaryllidaceae. The record is from RNAcentral.